This is a non-coding RNA of Myotis davidii, 303 nucleotides long. Lineage: Eukaryota; Metazoa; Chordata; Mammalia; Chiroptera; Vespertilionidae. The record is from Rfam.
UGAUGUGAGGCCAAUCUGGCUGUGACAUCUGUUACCCCAUUGAUCACCAGGGUUGAUUCGGCUGAUCUGGCUAGCUAGGCGGGUGUCCCCCUCCUCCCUCACCUAUCCAUGUGCGUUCCUCCCGAAGCUGUGCACUGCCCCCCCACAGGAGAGGACUGGUCUUUGGUCAAGGGUAUACAAGUAGCUGUGCUCCCUGCUAAAACCUCCAAACAAGCUCUCAAAAAUCAGUAAAUACAGUAUAUAUCUGAGAUUUUAUUUCUUUUGUAGACAAAAGCUAUCACAUUAUGUAUGUCUUUAUACUUU